AUGCAGCAAGCGCUGGCCCGCUGCCAUACCCCGGCAGAGGUUGAGUUGCCGCCGGUGGCUGUAGGCGCCCUUGAUACAGCCGGUUGCGCAACCCCCUCACCAAGUUGCGUUGCAGCAAGCGUCGCCGGCGAGGACGCCCCAUUGCUCACAGUGACGACGGAUGCAACAGCGAUGCCGGUGUCGUCCUCUAUUACUGCAGCAACGGUGUUGUUGCCAAAGCGGGCUCCGCAACAGCGGCAGUGGUGGCAGCAGAUCCUUGCGGUGUGGUGGUCGGAGACAAGUGCAACGGAGGUGGUGGUGUGGUGUGGUGUGACGAGUGAUGAUGGAGAAAACUAA
This 336-nucleotide ribosomal RNA is filed under the name Triticum aestivum (bread wheat). RNAcentral describes it as "partial small subunit ribosomal RNA". The record is from RNAcentral. Lineage: Eukaryota; Viridiplantae; Streptophyta; Magnoliopsida; Poales; Poaceae.